This is a long non-coding RNA of Hydractinia symbiolongicarpus, 2552 nucleotides long. RefSeq lists it as uncharacterized. The transcript has 2 exons. Lineage: Eukaryota; Metazoa; Cnidaria; Hydrozoa; Anthoathecata; Hydractiniidae. The record is from RefSeq and is a predicted model, not a curated record.
GGUUUCUAUGAAACAAUUCAAACAAUUAAAUUAACAUAGUUUGAGACUGCAAGAAAACAGUGGGAAACAGAAAUUUCUUCUUAGUAUUUUAAUUGCAAUAUGUCUUGCAAGAGUUGAAUUUCGCAAGAAUAUAUUACAUUUAAACUAAGAUUUUCGGCAGAAUGAAGCUUUUGCAGAAUAUUUUUGUUGGCAUUUCUGGUUUAGCUAAUUUUUUUUCUCUUUUACAUUCAAAUAAUAAUUUGAAUACAUUUAAAAUAUAAUUCGAAUAAAGGAGAUAGGAGAAACAAAAAUCUACAUGUUGUAAAUAGUAUAUGGCAGUAAAAAUCAUACUUUUCGAUAGGUAAGCUUGUAGAGUCAGUUGAAAGUUGGUUCUCGAGCUCUGAAAUUUUCUUCUUCAACCUGAUAUUUUCUCUCAUCAACAUACUAUUGCAAGGAUAAAAGAAUCUAAAAUUAGUAACAGUUAAAGCUGCAGACUCUUUCUUAUAUGCGCAACUUCAAUUCUUAAUUUAAUCUUAAAUUAGUUGGCUUAUACAGCAAUUUCAGUACAUAUUAAAAAAGAAAUGAACAUACCUUUCUAAACUAUUUGACGUAGACGAUGUUUCAACCUGAAACAAACAAUAUCAAAACCUGAUUAUAGACCCGACAAUAAAAGAAAGACUUACAUCGUUUUUUCCAAUGACUUUUAAUUUGCAAUGAAGCGCCUCAACAUUUUUACUCCGUACCCUGAUGUCACUGUCAACAUCACUAUAAAAUUUGACAAAAAACCUAGCUGAAAAUUUCCUUAUUUUUGUUAUAAAAAAUUAUAAUAAGUAACAAUGUGUUUAGAAAAAUGUGCACCAUACUUACUUUCCAAUUGUUACCAUUUCUUUUUCCAAGAUAAUAGGAUAGGCCAUGCCAUCAGUUCCAUUCCUUGUAAUAACUGUUAUGGUACCUACCAAUACAAAUGAUUCUUGAAGAUUUCGCUAUAUAAAAAAUGUAUACACAUAUAUUUACCAUUGUCAAAAACAAGAAAAAUUCAAACACUUUGUGCCAACUGUAUUAAAAAAGACACCCACACAGCUACUUAUAGUUCUAAAAAUAUGUUAAAAAGGUGAGUAUGGAUUGUGUGAUUCUAUAAUAUGUGGAAUAUGAUAUUUCUGUAUAUAAUUCAGUUUAUAUUAAAUAUAUUAAUAGUAUUAAUUAUAUUAGCCAGUUUAUAUUAUAUUAAAAAUUGCCUUCCAUAAAGAAUAAUUUUCACAAAUUAGUCAUUUUAAAAAAUUUCAAAUAUUUAUUUUUGGAAUAAAUGUUUGAAACGAAUAAUUUCAACUUGCUUUGCAGUGAAUUAGUUUGCAGUUUUAGUUUAGGUCCUUAUAAAUUAUUUGGGAUUACAAUUAAAGCUGCUUAAAAGAUUCAGAAAUCCUUUUGUUUUGUCGAUACAAAACUUCCUAGAAAUAAAAAUAUACUGCUAAAAAUAAGAAAAAGGUAUAUAAUAGUAUAUAUAUAAUAGGUAUAUACACACAAAAGACUGUUUUUUACCUUACUAUUACCAAAACUCAUGAUAAAAUAUGCUUCCUACUUUUCUUGUGACCUGCUUUGACAAUUCCAACUUGAAAAAUGAUUUUUUUAUUCCGACAAUGUAAAAUAUAUAUGAAAUGCUUGAGCAUAGCACAACUGCAGUGUGAUAUAAAAGAAAGCUUAAUUGUUUACUUAACUAAGUUAUCAUAAUAAAAACUGGUGAUAUAAGUUUUAUGAAAGCAUGGCUACAACAGGCAACACACUUUUUUAACAAUAAUUUAUAACAGCUUUUGUUAUGAUUUGAUAUUAUUUUGAUAAGGAAUAAUAUAUCUAUAAACAACACUGGUUGUUUAAAACAAAUGUGUGGGGUCUCCAGAAAAACAACUUCAAGCAUGGUCAAUAUUUUUAAUAAACAAGAGAAAAAUAAACAAAAUGUUUUAAAAACAAAUAGGUGUGAGUCUCUAGAAAAACAACUUCAAGCAUGGCUAUUGUCUUUAAAAAAACAAGAAAAACAUAAGUAAGAAUAAAUUUAGUGAAAAUAAAAUGAGCUUUUAAACAAACGCUCAGAGGUCAUAUCAAAAUACCAACAUGAGAAUAAGGACUAUAUAAAAACACACUACAGCAAUAUACUUAACUACACAAAAAGACUACCAAGAAACAUAAUGCUAUUGUUAAAUGACCAUAGCUAUAGCUCUUUAAUUCUACUAAUGUUAUUUCAUUGAACAAACCUAAAAAGUUCAGAUUGCUAUUUGGGGUGUUACUAGCUACAAAACGUUAGCUAGCUAUGCACUUUGGUUGCCCACAAAAAAUAUAUUUACAUAAGCAUUUACAACAUUUAAAACUGUUAAAGGACAAAAUAAAACUUACCAAAGAAAAAAAGCUUUUCUGUUUCUUAUAUCUGAUUGAUAUGAUUAAAAAACAACAACAACAAUCCUUAACUGAGAGUAUCUUUCACGCCGCAAGCCGCCCUUAUGAUUUAUUUUUAAUAUUUGCACAUGCGCGUUGACGUAGAAAACGUAACCGCCAUGUCGUGGGUAACCGACGUAACCUAAGCGUAA